GCAUGUCGAGCGCUCUCAGCUAUGUAGAGAGCGCGGCGAACGGCUCCGUAACACGUAGUUAACCUACCCUCGGGAUGGGGAUAACCCCGGGAAACUGGGAUUAAUACCCACUAGAUGAUUAUACCUGGAAUGGCUUAUCAUCGAAAGAGUCUGGAAACAUGCUUCCAGCGUCGCCCGAGGAUGGGACCGCGUCCGAUCAGGUUGUUGGUGGGGUAACGGCCUACCAAGCCUAUAACCGGUACGGGCCCUGAGAGGGGGAGCCCGGAGAUGGAAACUGAGAAAAGGUUCCAGGCCCUACGGGGUGCAGCAGGCGCGAAACCUCCACAAUGCACGAAAGCGUGAUGGGGUUAUCCCGAGUGCCGUCCGAUGAGGAUGGCUUUUCAUCGGUGUAAGGAUCCGAUGGAAUAAAGGGGGGGCAAGACUGGUGUCAGCCGCCGCGGUAAUACCAGCCCCCUGAGUGGUAAGGACGAUUAUUUGGCCUAAAGCGUUCGUAGCCGGCUUAUCAAGUCUUUUGUUAAAUCCAACGAUUCAAUCGUUGGGCCGCAAAAGAUACUGUUAUGCUAGAGGACGGGAGAGGUCGACGGUAUUCCAGGGGUAGGGGUGAAAUCCUAUAAUCCUUGGAGGACACCAGUGGCGAAGGCGGUCGACUAGAACGUGCCUGACGGUGAGGGACGAAAGCUGGGGGAGCGAACCGGAUUAGAUACCCGGGUAGUCCCAGCCGUAAACGAUGCGGGCUAGGUGUU
RNAcentral lists this ribosomal RNA (743 nucleotides) under uncultured archaeon. RNAcentral describes it as "bacterial SSU rRNA". It matches the Rfam family "Archaeal small subunit ribosomal RNA", at positions 53 to 775 of the family's 1478-position model. The record is from RNAcentral.